Molecule: ribosomal RNA, 1325 nt
Filed under: metagenome
Description: bacterial LSU rRNA
Rfam family: Bacterial large subunit ribosomal RNA
Source: RNAcentral
AGUGGAUGGGGAGCAACCUAGUUGUGCGUGUGUAAAGGUAGUGCCAAGAAAAGCGAUGAUCAUGUUGAAAAUCAAUUCCCGGUACCCGAAACCGACACAGGUGGGCAAGUAGAGAAUACUAAGGGGCGCGAGGUAACUCUCUCCAAGGAACUCGGCAAAAUGACCCCGUAACUUAGGGAGAAGGGGUGCCACCGAGAGGUGGUCGCAGUGAAGAGGCCCAGGCGACUGUUUAGCAAAAACAUAGGUCUCUGCAAACUCGAAAGAGGAGGUAUAGGGGCUGACGCCUGCCCAGUGCCGGAAGGUUAAAGAAGUUGGUCAGUUUUAGGAUGAAGCUAGCGACUGAAGCCCCGGUGAACGGCGGCCGUAACUAUAACGGCCCUAAGGUAGCGAAAUUCCUUGUCGGGUAAGUUCCGACCCGCACGAAAGGCGUAACGAUCUGGGCGCUGUCUCGGAGAGAGGCUCGGCGAAAUAGGAUUGUCUGUGAAGAUACGGACUACCUGCAUUUGGACAGAAAGACCCUAUGAAGCUUUACUAUAGCUUGGAAUUGUGUUCGGGCUUCCUGUGCGCAGGAUAGGUGGGAGGCGUAGAAGGUAUUCUUGUGGGGAUACUGGAGCCAACGGUGAGAUACCACUCUCAGGAGGCUAGAAUUCUAACUUAAUUAAGGACAGUUUCAGGUGGGUAGUUUGACUGGGGCGGUCGCCUCCAAAAAGGUAACGGAGGCGUACAAAGGUUCCCUCAGACUGGUUGGAAAUCAGUCGAAGAGUGCAAAGGCAGAAGGGAGCUUGACUGCGAGAAGUACAGUUCGAGCAGGGUGGAAACACGGUCUUAGUGAUCCGACGGUGCUGUGUGGAAGGGCCGUCGCUCAACGGAUAAAAGUUACUCUAGGAUAACAGGCUGAUCUCCCCCAAGAGUUCACAUCGACGGGGAGGUUUGGCACCUCGAUGUCGGCUCAUCGCAACCUGGGGCGGAAGUACGUCCCAAGGGUUGGGCUGUUCGCCCAUUAAAGCGGUACGUGAGCUGGGUUCAGAACGUCGUGAGACAGUUCGGUCCAUAUCCGAUGUAGGCGUGAGAAUAUUGAGAGGAGCCUUCCUUAGUACGAGAGGACCGGGAAGGACGCACCGCUGGUGUACCUGUUAUGAUGCCAAUUGUAAACGCAGGGUAGCCAAGUGCGGAGAGGAUAACCGCUGAAAGCAUCUAAGUGGGAAGCCCACCUCAAGAUGAGUAUUCUGGUGUAAGGUCACGGGAAGACGACCCGUAAAUAGGCACGAGGUGGAAGUGCAGAGAUGUAUGAAGCCGAAGUGUACUAAUAGACCGUCGGCUUGACC